This 400-nucleotide ribosomal RNA is filed under the name uncultured bacterium. Its description in RNAcentral is "bacterial SSU rRNA". It matches the Rfam family "Bacterial small subunit ribosomal RNA", at positions 355 to 753 of the family's 1533-position model. The record is from RNAcentral.
UCGAGAAUCUUCGGCAAUGGGCGAAAGCCUGACCGAGCGACGCCGCGUGAGGGAAGAAGGCCUUCGGGUUGUAAACCUCUUUCGUAGAGGAGGAAGGGGCCGUGCAGAGCGGUCUUUGACCUAUUCUAGGAAGAAGCUUGGGCUAAGUUCGUGCCAGCAGCCGCGGUAAGACGAACCAAGCGAACGUUAUUCGGAAUUACUGGGCUUAAAGCGCGUGUAGGCGGAUGACCACGUCAGUCGUUGAAAUCCCCCGGCUCAACCGGGGAACAGGCGCUGAUACGAGUUGUCUGGAGGUGGGUAGGGGAGACUGGAACUUCCGGUGGAGCGGUGAAAUGCGUUGAGAUCGGAAGGAACGCCCGCGGCGAAAGCGAGUCUCUGGACCCAUUCUGACGCUGAGACG